RNAcentral lists this small RNA (63 nucleotides) under Maricaulis maris. RNAcentral describes it as "sRNA BjrC68". It matches the Rfam family "Bradyrhizobiaceae sRNA BjrC68". Lineage: Bacteria; Pseudomonadati; Pseudomonadota; Alphaproteobacteria; Maricaulales; Maricaulaceae. The record is from RNAcentral. RNAcentral also lists the same sequence under 1 other name.
UCUGAUCCGCGAAACCCGGCAAUGAGGAGGGCCCCGACCGCCAGGUCGGGGCCCUUUCUUUUG